Molecule: ribosomal RNA, 572 nt
Filed under: uncultured bacterium
Lineage: Bacteria
Description: bacterial SSU rRNA
Rfam family: Bacterial small subunit ribosomal RNA
Source: RNAcentral
AGAGUUUGAUCAUGGCUCAGGAUGAACGCUGGCGGCGUGCUUAACACAUGCAAGUCGAACGAGAACCACCGGAUUGAGGAUUCGUCCAAAUGAAGGUGGGGAAAGUGGCGGACGGGUGAGUAACGCGUGAGCAAUCUGCCUUGGAGUGGGGAAUAACGGCUGGAAACAGCCGCUAAUACCGCAUGAAGCAGCUGGGAGGCAUCUCCCUGGCUGCCAAAGAUUUAUCGCUCUGAGAUGAGCUCGCGUCUGAUUAGCUGGUUGGCGGGGUAACGGCCCACCAAGGCGACGAUCAGUAGCCGGACUGAGAGGUUGGCCGGCCACAUUGGGACUGAGACACGGCCCAGACUCCUACGGGAGGCAGCAGUGGGGAAUAUUGGGCAAUGGGCGCAAGCCUGACCCAGCAACGCCGCGUGAAGGAAGAAGGCUUUCGGGUUGUAAACUUCUUUUCUUGGGGACGAAGAAAGUGACGGUACCCAAGGAAUAAGCCACGGCUAACUACGUGCCAGCAGCCGCGGUAAUACGUAGGUGGCAAGCGUUAUCCGGAUUUAUUGGGUGUAAAGGGCGUGUAAGCG